GUCAGGUGUGGUGGUGCACACCUGUAAUCCCAGUGACUCAGGAGGCUGAGGCAGAAGGAUUGAUUGCAUGAUCAAGGUCAGCCUUAGCAACUUAGUGAGGCCCUAAGCAAGUUAGCAAGACCCUGUCUCAA
Molecule: small RNA, 131 nt
Filed under: Marmota monax (woodchuck)
Lineage: Eukaryota; Metazoa; Chordata; Mammalia; Rodentia; Sciuridae
Source: RNAcentral